This is a long non-coding RNA of Danaus plexippus (monarch butterfly), 811 nucleotides long. RefSeq lists it as uncharacterized. The record is from RefSeq and is a predicted model, not a curated record. NCBI's taxonomy places the organism in Eukaryota, Metazoa, Arthropoda, Insecta, Lepidoptera, Nymphalidae. The transcript is spliced from 3 exons.
CUGAGAGAUUUAGGACGGUGCCGGGGAGCCGGGCAAUCGGGGAGCUGUCUCGACUCUCGAGUCAAACGCAAGUCGCGAUAGCUGUGUUCGGAUGCAUUCGCACGCAAACAGAUGAAUUUGGACGUCUGAGCAUCCCGGCAAGGAGUACGAGCAUUUACGCCGGAGACAUUAUCGGUGUUUAUCAAGACGUCGCGUCUUGCUGACGACUGGGGUCCUAUCUAUAAUGUUCGCUGUAUUCAUUUUUCAAGAUCAAAAGUGGCGGUCUAUCUGGUUUCUAUGGGAACGAACAUGGAUUGCGCGAAAGUAAACUUGGCCAAGGGCGGUUAUGUAAUCAUUCUCUCGUAUUGAUUGUGUGUGUAAAAAGAUAGGAAUAGGUAUUGGUUGUUAACGUUUGUAUAUCUUAACAUUAUUUUCUUUUUAUUUAACGUAUUUUUUUUAUAAAAUGAAUAUUUUUAAGCCAGUAAUAAGUACUAUUAAUAAUAUUCGAAUUAGUCCUGCGUUUGCCCGCAGCUUUUGUGGUUGUUACGUAAUCAAACGCACGAUGUCUUCAAUGCAAUGAUAAAAUGUAAAUAGUGAGAUUUUUUAUCUGUAUUCUAUGUAGAAUGAUCUAGGAUAAUUUUAUAACGAUAAAUAAUUACUUAUAUAUAGAAUGUAUUGCAUUCAGCUUUAUGUUUCUACUAGGUGAAUUAAAAACCGUCCCCCAUAAUGUGCUUCCUAUUAUCCUAUUAUUUUCUAAAAAAAUUAAUUAAAUACUUGCUAUAAUAUAACUUGCUGUUUUAGAGGUUAAUCUUGGAGCUGUCCCGAUGUUUGU